AACGAACGCUGGCGGCGCGCCUAAUACAUGCAAGUCGAACGAGAAGCUGUAGCAAUACAGUUGUACAGUGGCGAACGGGUGAGGAAUACAUGGGUGACCUACCCUCGAGUGGGGAAUAACCAGCCGAAAGGUUGGCUAAUACCGCGUACGCUUCCCAGUCUACGGGUUGGGAAGGAAAGCGAUGCCGUGGGUAUCGCGCUCAAGGUUGGGCUCAUGUCCUAUCAGCUUGNGGUGGGGUAACGGCUCACCAAGGCAACGACGGGUAGCUGGUCUGAGAGGACGAUCAGCCACACUGGCACUGCGACACGGGCCAGACUCCUACGGGAGGCAGCAGUAAGGAAUAUUGCGCAAUGGGCGAAAGCCUGACGCAGCGACGCCG
This 379-nucleotide ribosomal RNA is filed under the name uncultured bacterium. RNAcentral's name for it is "bacterial SSU rRNA". It matches the Rfam family "Bacterial small subunit ribosomal RNA", at positions 29 to 399 of the family's 1533-position model. The record is from RNAcentral.